GGUGGUAUAGCCAAGCGGUAAGGCAUGGGUCUGCAACACCCUGAUCACCGGUUCGAUUCCGGUUACCACCU
This 71-nucleotide transfer RNA is filed under the name Leuconostoc mesenteroides. Its description in RNAcentral is "tRNA-Cys". It matches the Rfam family "tRNA". From Rfam's summary of the family: Transfer RNA (tRNA) molecules are approximately 80 nucleotides in length. The record is from RNAcentral. Lineage: Bacteria; Bacillati; Bacillota; Bacilli; Lactobacillales; Lactobacillaceae. RNAcentral also lists the same sequence under 11 other names.